RNAcentral lists this long non-coding RNA (450 nucleotides) under Gallus gallus (chicken). Lineage: Eukaryota; Metazoa; Chordata; Aves; Galliformes; Phasianidae. The record is from RNAcentral.
CGGCAGCUUUCACUGGCUCGAUCCUGGACACGAUUUCUGCCAGGUCUGUGAAGGAGGUGCUGGGAUAGGUCACGUUAUCAGAAGUUUUGGUUUUGUGUGUCUCUUGUCUGUCUCGUAGCAUCUUGUCAAGGACGCCGCUCCUGGACCAGACACCAAACACAGUCUUCCCAUGUUGAUAUCCCACUUCACAGAUCUCAUCAAACUUCCCAAAAUCCAGCGUGCCGUAGCGGUCGAUGGGUGGCCGGAUGUACUCGCAGUAGUCGCUGCUCUUCACCAUCUCCAGCUGCCGCACGCACCACACGUACGCGAGCCGUGUUUGGAUCUCUGCCAUGUUCGGCACCUUGACUUUCUCAGCCAGUGGAUUCCACCUCUUCCACAGCAGCCACCAGCCGGACAAGCAGUCACCGUAGUUGGUGAGGUUGGUCUCAUCCCGGCUCCCCACAUCGAUUG